Molecule: ribosomal RNA, 800 nt
Filed under: Psychrobacter sp. MY-CA32
Lineage: Bacteria; Pseudomonadati; Pseudomonadota; Gammaproteobacteria; Moraxellales; Moraxellaceae
Description: bacterial SSU rRNA
Rfam family: Bacterial small subunit ribosomal RNA
Source: RNAcentral
UAGAAGAUGACGAGCGGCGGACGGGUGAGUAAUACUUAGGAAUCUACCUAGUAGUGGGGGAUAGCUCGGGGAAACUCGAAUUAAUACCGCAUACGACCUACGGGAGAAAGGGGGCAACUUGUUGCUCUCGCUAUUAGAUGAGCCUAAGUCGGAUUAGCUAGAUGGUGGGGUAAAGGCCUACCAUGGCGACGAUCUGUAGCUGGUCUGAGAGGAUGAUCAGCCACACCGGGACUGAGACACGGCCCGGACUCCUACGGGAGGCAGCAGUGGGGAAUAUUGGACAAUGGGGGAAACCCUGAUCCAGCCAUGCCGCGUGUGUGAAGAAGGCCUUUUGGUUGUAAAGCACUUUAAGCAGUGAAGAAGACUCUUCGGUUAAUACCCGGAGACGAUGACAUUAGCUGCAGAAUAAGCACCGGCUAACUCUGUGCCAGCAGCCGCGGUAAUACAGAGGGUGCAAGCGUUAAUCGGAAUUACUGGGCGUAAAGCGAGCGUAGGUGGCUUGAUAAGUCAGAUGUGAAAUCCCCGGGCUUAACCUGGGAACUGCAUCUGAUACUGUCAGGCUAGAGUAGGUGAGAGGAAGGUAGAAUUCCAGGUGUAGCGGUGAAAUGCGUAGAGAUCUGGAGGAAUACCGAUGGCGAAGGCAGCCUUCUGGCAUCAUACUGACACUGAGGCUCGAAAGCGUGGGUAGCAAACAGGAUUAGAUACCCUGGUAGUCCACGCCGUAAACGAUGUCUACUAGUCGUUGGGUCCCUUGAGGACUUAGUGACGCAGCUAACGCAAUAAGUAGACCGCCUGGGGAG